RNAcentral lists this ribosomal RNA (468 nucleotides) under uncultured bacterium. Its description in RNAcentral is "partial 16S ribosomal RNA". It matches the Rfam family "Bacterial small subunit ribosomal RNA", at positions 28 to 507 of the family's 1533-position model. The record is from RNAcentral.
GACGAACGCUGGCGGCGUGCUUAACACAUGCAAGUCGAACGGAAAGGCCCUGCUUUUGUGGGGUGCUCGAGUGGCGAACGGGUGCGUAACACGUGAGUAACCUGCCCUUGACUUUGGGAUAACUUCAGGAAACUGGGGCUAAUACCGGAUAGGAGCUCCUGCUGCAUGGUGGGGGUUGGAAAGUUUCGGCGGUUGGGGAUGGACUCGCGGCUUAUCAGCUUGUUGGUGGGGUAGUGGCUUACCAAGGCUUUGACGGGUAGCCGGCCUGAGAGGGUGACCGGCCACAUUGGGACUGAGAGACGGCCCAGACGCCUAUGGGAGGCAGCAGUGGGGAAUAUUGCACAAUGGGCGGAAGCCUGAUGCAGCGACGCCGCGUGCGGGAUGACGGCCUUCGGGUUGUAAACCGCUUUCGCCUGUGACGAAGCGUGAGUGACGGUAAUGGGUAAAGAAGCACCGGCUAACUACGUG